This 77-nucleotide transfer RNA is filed under the name Tunturiibacter empetritectus. Its description in RNAcentral is "tRNA-Val". It matches the Rfam family "tRNA". Rfam says of the family: Transfer RNA (tRNA) molecules are approximately 80 nucleotides in length. Their secondary structure includes four short double-helical elements and three loops (D, anti-codon, and T loops). Further hydrogen bonds mediate the characteristic L-shaped molecular structure. tRNAs have two regions of fundamental functional importance: the anti-codon, which is responsible for specific mRNA codon recognition, and the 3' end, to which the tRNAs corresponding amino acid is attached (by aminoacyl-tRNA synthetases). tRNAs cope with the degeneracy of the genetic code in two manners: having more than one tRNA (with a specific anti-codon) for a particular amino acid; and 'wobble' base-pairing, i.e. permitting non-standard base-pairing at the 3rd anti-codon position. The record is from RNAcentral. Lineage: Bacteria; Pseudomonadati; Acidobacteriota; Terriglobia; Terriglobales; Acidobacteriaceae.
GGGCGGUUAGCUCAGUUGGUUAGAGCAUCUCGUUUACACCGAGAGGGUCGGGGGUUCGAAUCCCUCACUGCCCACCA